CCAUUUGGGUUCUCGUCGCUAAAACAUUCACCGCGGCUCGUGUAACAGUAGCUAUACCCGCCGCCGCCGCCCCAGCUGUCAUAAACUGGCCUACCGUAAGUCUGGUAACAUGGGCGUAGGGGUGGAGGUGGUCCACCAUAAUAGCAAGGUCCCCCACCAACGCCAUGAUAGCAUUCCGUGCAACAGCAUCCGAUGGGGGGAUAAGCCAUUGGUGGUGGAGGACAAGGUUCUGGAACCUUUGGUGCUGCUGCUGGCGGUUUCGGUGGUGGUUCUUUUCGUUUCUCAGGUUCCUUAGGCUUUUCGGGUUGUUUAGGUUUCUCGGGUUCUUUGGGUUUUUCGGGUUCUUUCGGCUUUUCGGGUUGUUUAGGUUUCUCGGGUUCUUUGGGUUUUUCGGGUUCUUUUGGUUUUUCGGGUGCUUUAGGCUUUUCGGGUUCUUUUGGUUUUUCUGGUACUUUAGGCUUCUCUGGUUCUUUGGGUUUUUCAGGUUCUUUGGGCUUUUCGGGUUCUUUAGGCUUCUCAGGCUCCUUGGGUUUGGGAGGAGGAGGUGGAGGUUUGAUCUCAAUGCUCUUGAUUGAUCCAGCACCCUUGCAACAUAUCUUGUCCCUCAGCUUCUCAGGAUUGCAGCAUACCACAGUAAUGGUCACGGUGUUGGCUUUCUCAUUGUAUAUCUGGUCUCGUAUUUCUCUUGUUCGCAAAAACCCAUCAUCAAAAAAUUAUCAACUUAAACCAUAUAAAAAACUACUUUGCAAUUAUUAAAAUGCUAAACACAAAAAGGACAAGCAUAAAAAUCAGGAA
Molecule: long non-coding RNA, 795 nt
Filed under: Gossypium raimondii (Peruvian cotton)
Lineage: Eukaryota; Viridiplantae; Streptophyta; Magnoliopsida; Malvales; Malvaceae
Description: long non-coding RNA (GRAI_LNC008644)
Source: RNAcentral